CUCAAUUCUCUUCUGUUCUGGGCAAAUAUUCUGGUCUCCAAUCGAAUCUUGUGAGUGCACACAAGUCUUGAUGUCGUGUUAACCCUGGAGGGCAACCGCAAGCGUUCUACUGCACCGGGGUAGCGAGGAAUUGUCUUUUAGAGCAGUGGUUCGUCCACGGCGCGACAAUCGUUCUAAUUCGGUCACCUCGUUCAUCACGAUAUUGAGAUAAGUUUAUUCUAAUUAUAUUCCAAUUAAAUUAUUGUGGCAACAUUAUUACUUUAUGGUAUUAAAUCGCAACAAUUUAUCACCAAACAAUGUCCGAUUGCCUAAAUGGCUAAAUUAUAAGAAGUCUUUGUCAAUUGUUUGGUCAAGAUUUUGUCACUUAAUGAGGGUUAGCAAUAGAUAUUUUGAUUGUUCAUUCGUGUGUAUGUGUAACGCGCUCCAAGCGAAAUAAGUUGGGAUGAAAUUGUGCCAAACAGGUCAAGUUCGAGUUGGUUAAUCUAAAUAUCCGACCUUAAAGGGCAUUAAUGGCCAUCGUUUAUGUGUUGCCUAAAUUAUCAUUAUGAUAUGGUCCCUCUUUUCUCAGUUAGGCUCUCGGUUUAGAUGCAAUUUUAUGUUAAACUUAAUAAGGUGGGUCGGGUUUGAACUUUAGUUUAUUAACUGCCUUUUCAUAGGCUUUCAAGGUUUCAAGUUACUUUCCUUCACUGGAUUCAUGGCCGGGGGCAUUCCGUGACAGUUUUAGGCUAAAUUCUUACUUAUACAUAUUGUCUAUUAUUUUUGUGCAUUAAUGUGAGAGGAUACCCUGCAAGGAAACAUGCAGAGAGGUGCUUAGAGGAACCUUCAAUGUUGGUUGUCACAUACGAGGGCAUUCAUCCCUCCAUAGCUCUUAUACUAGGCUCAAAUUAAGGUGAAGAUGAUCUUUGAUUACUUUGAAGUAUCUCUUGGUUUUGUGGCUAGAGUCUUACCACUGGCGUGCCUCUGAGUGUGAUGCAAAAGUCUGAGUAGUUAGAUUGCUUCUGAUGGCACGAGUUAGACCGAAGAAGUCAACAUGAAAAAAUCCGAGCUAAUUGUGUUAGGGUUAUUUCUUAAUAUAACCAUUGACGAGGAUGCAGAAGCUGAUGUUUUUCUCUACUACAAAGUACUUUGUUGGUUUUUCUUUUGGAGCCUUCUCCCGCAUUCAAAUAUUGGUUUUUCUCUUGGAGCGUUCUCCUGCAUUCAAAUACCCGGAGUACUUUGUUGUUUGAUCCACUUUUCUGGAUAAUCUGUUUCGAAAUUAUGUAGUUGAUUGUGGUGAUUUUGGUUUCUGAUAUAACACCAAUAUCGGUUAGGGAAUUGUUGUACCAAUACGCAAAUGAUUUGGUGAUUUAGUAUGUGUUUUUUAUUGCAAAAUUGAACGAGUAUAGAAAAGACAACGUAACUAAUCUCAAGCAAGUGUGAAGAUCACUUCGAAUUUAUUUAUCU
Long non-coding RNA from Spinacia oleracea (spinach), 1443 nucleotides. RefSeq lists it as uncharacterized. Lineage: Eukaryota; Viridiplantae; Streptophyta; Magnoliopsida; Caryophyllales; Amaranthaceae. The transcript is spliced from 3 exons. The record is from RefSeq and is a predicted model, not a curated record.